Marmota flaviventris (yellow-bellied marmot) is the source of this 821-nucleotide non-coding RNA. Lineage: Eukaryota; Metazoa; Chordata; Mammalia; Rodentia; Sciuridae. The record is from RefSeq and is a predicted model, not a curated record.
AAGGGGCUGGAAGGAAAGACAAAGCUGGUCGGCAAACACAGCCCCCAUGGGCGACCACGGCCCUCAUAACCCCCACCAAGACCCAUUUAAAGCUCUAUCUCCUGGCACCUCACAGCUGCCCUGCCAGGAAAAAUUCUAAUGUCUAAUGCAGUUUCAAAUGCCAGUACAGCAACGAGAAGUGGGAGGAAGAAGUGGAGUAAGAGCCCUGUGGUGCCGAGGAUAAAACAAACCUAGGCCUUGGGCAUGUUAGGCAAGCACUCUACCAGUGAGCCCACCUCCAGCCCCAGAAAAUAGUACAAUUAUAUAUAUUAAAAAAAAAAAAAAAAAGUUUCAAGGAGAGUUUGCAGUAACAUGAGAAAAUGCUCAUGAUGUUAUCAAUGUGAGGUGAGAAAAGCAGCUACAGACUGAAUACACCACGUGGUCACAGCCAUGGAGAAACCAUGCACGGGAAGAACGCGGAAGGACACACCUCCAAAGGGAAACUGUGACUGUCUCUGGAAGUGGGGUUUUGGAUGAUUGCUGUUUCCCCCUUUUUACUUUUCUGUGUAUUCCAGGUUUGCAACACUGAGCCUGUGUAACUUUUAUUGGGAAAAUAAACCUCGAUAAAUUAAAAAAAAAAAAGGCGAUUAGUAUGGUAGAGGUAAUGUCAGAGACAAAAGCUAUACCCCAGCCCAACACAUACAGUACAAUAAAACCAAAUUGGUAUCAUGAAACAGAACAAAAAAACUACAUGGAGAAAAGAAAUAGACUGGCAGGAAAGGUCCCAAACAUGGACAAUAGCUGUCUCUGGGUAGUGGGUCUACACGUAAAUCUUUAAUUUC